AGUAUUUUGACUAUACAAAGGUAUUGAAAUAAGACUUUAAUUGAGUGCUAAGAGAAUGGAAUUUCAUAAAAUUUCUUUUUUAAUUUUAAAAAUUGAAAUUAAUUUUAUAUGUGAAGAAACAAUAAUAAAAAUUAAGGACAAGAAGACCCUAAGAAUUUUAAAAAUUUCAAUAAAAUAUAGCAUUUUAUUGAAAUUUUUAAUUGGGGCGAUUAUUAAAUAUUAAAAACUUUAAUUUUUUAAAAAAGAACCAAUAAUAUUGGUUAUUUGAAAAAAUACUCUAGGGAUAACAGCGUAAUAAUUUUUGAUAGUUCUUAUAGACAAAAUAGUUUGCGACCUCGAUGUUGGAUUAGGAUUCUUUUUUAAUGAAGAAGUUAAAAAAAGAAGUUUGUUCAACUUUUAAAAUCCU
Molecule: ribosomal RNA, 406 nt
Filed under: Amblyomma maculatum (Gulf Coast tick)
Lineage: Eukaryota; Metazoa; Arthropoda; Arachnida; Ixodida; Ixodidae
Description: partial small subunit ribosomal RNA
Source: RNAcentral